Molecule: long non-coding RNA, 1997 nt
Organism: Pocillopora damicornis (cauliflower coral)
Lineage: Eukaryota; Metazoa; Cnidaria; Anthozoa; Scleractinia; Pocilloporidae
Source: RefSeq, a predicted model, not a curated record
UUGAAAGAGCCUAUUCAUUCAUUGUUUUUUAAUAGAUUCUCGUUUGUUAUAUUGAAUAAUCAUUUUAGGCGCCAAGGGUAUGUCUCGAUCGCCACGGACAGAAAAACAAUAUCUAAAAUUUUGAAGCCUCGAGGCCAAAUUCUACGGAAACUUUUCAGCAAAGUGAAACUGCACACGUCAAUAUAUAUAAAAAACCGUGGUGGCUCAUUAGGAAUUAGAUAAGAAUUACGGGUGCACUGCAUACAACGUGGCAUAUACUCUGUUAUCUUAGUCUAACGUGCAAAACCAAGAUAAGUGGUUAUAACCAUGGAAAAUAAAGAUAAACACUAUCUUUUCUACAACAUUCUUCGAGGGAACUACCUGAUUUCGUAAACUUUAAUUUUAUGCAAAAUUUAAAAGAAGUUUCAAAGCUUUUGAGAUAAAAGUGAUCAUUCGACUCCUUGUUAGAUUUGAGACUGUUUAUAGCCUAUGCAACUCAUUGAUUAGUAAUCCGUUUAUUCAAACAAAGACGCACUAAUGGAUGUGAUAAAAAAAUGUUAUCUCUUAUUUUAAUCAAAAUACCACUUGGAUAAGGCACCAUUUAAUUAUUCAAUGUUAUGCUAAAGUCAAGAUCAAAAACAAAAACAGAAAAAGGGACCCUUGAGGGGAGCACAAGGACACAAAUGAUUACAUAAUCAGAUUAUUCGGUUUUUAAUAAACUGAGUUGAGAACGUGACUUGGCUGACAAAGGACCAACGCUCGAGAAACAUCUUUUUUAGAAUGGCUCUUGGGUGAAAAUUCACAUCAUCGACUCAGUUGAUAAAAGUAAAUAUUAAAUACCUUGAUUAAAGAAAGAGCUCUAAUGAGGCAAAAAAUUUGGUGCUCUUUAGCAGAGGAAACGAUUUACGCAACUCUGGUACUUGAGGCACUGAAGUGAAAACAAUUGUCUGCAAAGUCAAUGGUAGAGACUAGUUACAACGUGAUACGUUGACACGUGCAGGACUGUGACUGCAAAUUGCAGAAACACUCUUCAUUCUUCAUGUGUUUUAAAGGUUAAUCGUAUUAUCAUCUCUCAGGUCUUCUGGUCAAAGGUCUAAUGAAGUUUGUAUACAACAGUACAUGAGAAACGUUGUGUGGUCUUCAAAUUGUAGAAAUAGGUGUACAAUAUAAAAUAACCUUAACAUUGAAGUUGGUAAAAAAAAACACGGCGCCACAUCCCUCCAAGUGUUGUUGUUGAGAUCUUGCCUGUUUUGUCUUGCCUGUUUUUUGGAGCGAUAUAUUUGUACGUCAUACUGAGCUUAUGAUUGGCGAGUGCAAAGUUUAUAAGCCAGCAAAAUUUCCGUAAAAUAGUUCCAUAACAUACCUUCCUAUAACCGAAGUCAAUCAAGUCGCUUCCCAGCGGAUAAAAUGUACAAUUUAUUCGUUUGAUAAAAUAUCAUCACUGUUAAGUUCGGAUGACGCGAGAGCAAAAACGUAAAAGCAAGGGAGCUGAAAUGGUCAGUCCGACAUCAGCACAAGAACCAGGAGAGCAAACAACGGUAUGACAGCUGAUAUGUACAACUGAACUUUCGAGUUGCGAUAGUUUAAGACGUUUUUCGAAGCUUAUCGCACAAUUGUUCAUUUCGCAGCUCACAUUUUCCGAUGGCCAAGUUCGCGAUUUGCUUGAGGAAAUGGGGACAUACUUGGAAGGUCAUUUAGCGAUCUUAGACAAUACAAAACCACUGGAUGACCACCUGGCAAGAUGGGACUGAUUCGUAAUCCUGGCAGUUCGCUUUUUGUCGGAGCAGCCGACCGUGCAAUAAAUUCUGCAAAGGCCAGGUAGAUAGAGAUAGAUAGAUAAAUAGAUAGAUAGAUAGAGCAGGUAAAUGUUUGUUUAGUGUUUACUGUUGUCGAAAAUUUUCUGAUCCACGUUUGUUUGAAGUUUCAUUCUUUCUAAAAAAGUUACUGUUCUUCCCGUAGGGUCCGGAAUAUCCCGAGGUCCAACCGAGUAACUGAAUAAAUCUGCUUGUUUUUUGGCU